RNAcentral lists this ribosomal RNA (762 nucleotides) under uncultured bacterium. Its description in RNAcentral is "bacterial SSU rRNA". It matches the Rfam family "Bacterial small subunit ribosomal RNA", at positions 8 to 796 of the family's 1533-position model. The record is from RNAcentral.
AGAGUUUGAUCAUGGCUCAGAACGAACGCUGGCGGCAUGCCUAACACAUGCAAGUCGGACGCUUUCGGGGGUUUCGGCCUCCGAGGGAGUGGCGGACGGGUGAGUAGCGCGUGGGAACCUGCCCUGUUGUGGGGGAUAACCGAGGGAAACUUCGGCUAAUACCGCAUGCGCCCGGGGGUAACUCCGGGGAAAGAUUUAUCGCAGCAGGAGGGGCCCGCGUCGGAUUAGGUAGUUGGUGGGGUAACGGCCUACCAAGCCUGUGAUCCGUAGCUGGUCUGAGAGGAUGAUCAGCCACACUGGGACUGAGACACGGCCCAGACUCCUACGGGAGGCAGCAGUGGGGAAUAUUGGACAAUGGGCGCAAGCCUGAUCCAGCAAUGCCGCGUGAGUGAUGAAGGCCUUAGGGUUGUAAAGCUCUUUCGGCGGGGACGAUGAUGACGGUACCCGCAGAAGAAGCCCCGGCUAACUUCGUGCCAGCAGCCGCGGUAAUACGAAGGGGGCGAGCGUUGUUCGGAUUUACUGGGCGUAAAGGGCGCGUAGGCGGCGGCCCAAGUCGAGUGUGAAAGCCCCGGGCUCAACCUGGGAGGUGCGCUCGAGACUGGUCCGCUAGAGUUCGGGAGAGGAGAGUGGAAUUCCCAGUGUAGAGGUGAAAUUCGUAGAUAUUGGGAAGAACACCGGUGGCGAAGGCGGCUCUCUGGACCGAGACUGACGCUGAGGCGCGAAAGCGUGGGGAGCAAACAGGAUUAGAUACCCCGGUAGUCC